This 318-nucleotide RNase P RNA is filed under the name Flavobacterium fontis. Its description in RNAcentral is "Bacterial RNase P class A". It matches the Rfam family "Bacterial RNase P class A". From Rfam's summary of the family: Ribonuclease P (RNase P) is a ubiquitous endoribonuclease, found in archaea, bacteria and eukarya as well as chloroplasts and mitochondria. Its best characterised activity is the generation of mature 5'-ends of tRNAs by cleaving the 5'-leader elements of precursor-tRNAs. Cellular RNase Ps are ribonucleoproteins. The record is from Rfam by way of RNAcentral. Lineage: Bacteria; Pseudomonadati; Bacteroidota; Flavobacteriia; Flavobacteriales; Flavobacteriaceae.
CCAGCAGACCGCCUUAUCGCUGUUUCGAUUCGUCGAGAUGGAGGAAAGUCCGGACACCACAGAGUAGCAUAGCGGGUAACGCCCGUCCUUUCGAGAAAUCGGAAGAGGACCAGUGCAACAGAAAGGAUGUACAGUUCGGCUGUAGUGAAAUCAGGUAAACUCUAUGCGGUGCAAUGCCAUGUAUACCGACAGUUAAGGGCUACUCGUCCGUUGUCGGGGGGUAGGCAGAUAGAUCGUAUUAGUAAUAAUACGGCCAGAUAAAUGAUAAGGGUUCCGAAUUUCGGAAUACAGAAUCCGGCUUACAGGUCUGCUUUUUUA